UAUGAUGAUUCCAUAUUUGAUUUAGAUAAUACUGUUUUCUAUGUAUAGAAGAAAUAUUUGCAUGUCUUUUUUUUUUUUUUUUUUUGUCUUUUUCAUUCUACUACACAGUUAGUGAGACUGGAGGAGAAAAGCCUUAUCCAGCUGAAUUUCAUGAAUAGCAGUAAACAUAAGAAACACCAAGGGAAGAUUUCAAGAAUCCGUUUUAGCUUCAAGCUAUAUUCUUUGAUUGUUGUAAUAUUUCUUAGACUAUAUAUGGGGCUGAAGAUAUCCUUUCUUAAGUACUUCUAAUAAUUGAGACAGACUGUUCAUUCCUUUUUUUACUUUUGGAGGGGGGGUGUAUUAGUCCAUUUUCAUACUGCUAUGAAGAAAUACCUGUGAUUGGAUAAUUGAGAAAAAGAGUCUUAAUGGACUCACAGUUCCACAUGGCUGGGGAGGUUUCACCCUCGUAGCGGAAGGUAAAGGAAGAGCAAAGUCACAUCUUACAUGGUGGCAGGCAAAGGAGUGUGCAGGAAACUGCCCUUUAUAAAACCAUCAGAUCUCGUGAGACUUAUUCACUAUCACAAGAACAGCACAGGAAAACCUGCCCCCAUGAUUCAAUUACCUCCCACCAGGUCCCCCUCGACAAUGCGUGGAGAUUAUGGGAGCUACAAUUCAAGAUGAAAUUUGGGUGGGGACACAGCCAAACCAUAUCAGGGAGGAUGUCUGUCUGACACACUGAUGAUAAUACCUGUUAAUUUGGGAAAUGACUGGGACUCCUAUGUCAUCCUUAAAUUGUAUUCCAAGAAGCCAACUUUAUAUAACUGUUGGUCGUUGCUUAAAAGUUCAGGAGGAAGAAUUGUGUUUAUACAUAUCCUUACAGUAUUCAAUAUUUACACAUUUCCUUUGGUUCUGCAUUUACACCAGAUAAACAUUUUCUAACAAUAUCAAUAUAUUUGGAACAAAUUUUUUCUUCCCAUUUAUCUGUACUUCAAGGGUGAAAGUUAGGACAUGUGCCCCUCAGAGGCCUGGGCAUGGAAAGAAUCUUCAGUAUUACAGAAAAGAUACCUCUGAAUCAUUUCUAUUCGUUAUAAAUGUAGCAUAUUUGUGAUACUAAAAUGGAAACGCUUUUUUUAAAAAAACAUUUUCCCCACUCUCUCCACCCAGAGAAAACGAUGAACAUUUUAGCAUAUUCCUGCAAGUCUUUUACAAUAUAGAUUUAGCUGAUUUGUGACGUACUAUAUAACAACUUGCAUCACAGAGAUUUCUUCUGCCUCAAGUUUAACAGCAAUUUUCUCCUAUUUAAAACAUUGUAAAAAUCAUGUUUAAUGAUUGCGUAGCACAACAUCAUAUGGACAUAUAUUUUGCUUAAACUUUUUUUCUUUUUGGAUAUUUAUGUUCUUUUAAAGUUUUCACCACUAAAUACACAGUAAUGUCUAUAUUUUGAAUUGAGAAAGCUACUUUUUAGGAUUAUAUGGAACUCAAAACCAAUUAAGAAACUACACUUCUAGAACCUACUGUGUGUUGUUCAUGUGUGUUUAUAUGAACUGAGGUGACAAGGAGAGUUCUUUUACCCUGGAGGACAGUUGGGAAAGAUUAAGAGAAAGAAGUAUGUAAAAAUUACUCUUUUUUUUCCUUACAACUGAUGCUCAUUACAGCUUUUUCAAAUUGCCAUAGACACAAAAUGCAGUACCAAUGCAUUUAAUUUAAUUAGUCAGGUGUUUUUUGUGUUUGUUUUGGGGGUUGUUGUUUUUUUGUUUUGGAUUUGGUUUGUUUGUUUGUCUUGUUUUUGCUAUUAAUCAGUAAAAGUUGUUCUUUACAGGCCAGAUGAGCAGCAGCCACUAGUGGUUGUGUUGAUGCUGCAAGUUUUCACUGAUUUUAAAAUGGACUGUAUUUGCUACAGAGAACUCUGUAAGAUUUCUAAACACCGAGGAUUCUAUGGAGGGUCAUUGAAAAGUGUUAGAAAAAUUAGUGUCUAGAUGAGUCGUGAGUCAUUGCAUGAUCUCAUACAGAUGUGAAACAUCUCUGUCACUCUCUAGUACUAGAAGUGCAUUUACCAGUGCUCCUCAUCAAGCUUGGAAUGCUCUCUCUUCGUUUGCAUGUAUCCAAACCCAAAACGUCCAGCAAGACUCAAUUAAGUCCACUUCAUCUGACAGUCCCUCUUUGAGACAUAUGUUGUAGCCACCCUGCUCUGAAUAGUCCACCUGGAUGGCUUACUGGUGAUGCAAAUCCUACAUGCAUUCAUUAUACUCAUUAUUUCCUCCUCAAAAACUGACCCACUGCAGUUAGAAAAGUCAGGACAGAGCCAGAUGGCCUGGAGGUGCCAGUCUCUUAAUGGUGCUAAAAUGUCCCUGGAAGCUAGCAAGUUGAAAGUAAUAUACUUACCCGAAUUCUUCUCAGGGAGACUACUGUAUGAUGUUAAAAGAAAUGUUAUCACAAGCUACUUGGUUGGAUGGAUGGUGGUGACUGGUGAGAGAGACUUUGUAUAGCAUUCUAGAGUGACAGUAAAUGGUUAUAAAAUCUCCACCCCCAAUGGGUGUACAUUGCAGAUGUAAUUAGUCAAGAUGACAUAAUGCUAGAGUAGGAUGAGCCCCUUAUGCAAUUUGACUGGUGUCCUUAUUAGAAGACAGAGAUACACAGGGAAAAUGCGAUGUGAAGGCAGAGACAGAGAUUGGAAUGAUGAGGAGCCCAGGAAUCCCAAGGACUGCUGCUGUCAUUCGAGUAAUUGCACAGGUUUUGUUUUACUCAGUGAAGUAUUUAGGAGUUGGAGCAGAGCUAAAUUGCUCUGAGUAGUGGAGAAGAGGUGCAUCACUACCAGAGGAUCUUCCUUCUCCAAUCCUUCUAGAUCCUUCUAGAAUAGAAGCCUUCAGCCUCUAUUCUAAGUAAGUGUUGAAUAUUUAAAGGAUAUAAUAGUCAAAUUCUUUAAAGAUCAGGCAUGUAUCAUAAGUAAAUCUAGAGGUAAGGUAAUAGGGCAUGAUUGAGUCUCUGAAAAAGUGGAGCAAAUGCCGUUUACUCUUUAGUAAAUACAUUUCCGUUCAAAUAUUUUAAAAUCGUGUCAGCCAAAAAUUAAAAUUAAAAAAUGCCCACCUUUGUGCUAGUCAGCUCAUGGUGGACUGCAGUUGGGAUUUCUGGAUUAUUUUUUGAAAGAGUGCCUUGUGAAUGUCUUACCCACAGUGUCUGCAGGACCCUGGCAGGCCCAGUUUGGAAUCCUACUCAAGCCCUCCUCCUUAUCUGUAAGAGUUAAGGCUACUUUGGCUGAAAUUGACAACUCUGUUUCUUAAAGCAGGGUGGAGGAAAACAUGAAGAUGAGUCAAAAGGGGCAUGUACACUGACCCUUAAGAAAGGUUUGCAGAAGAUACUGUCACACAACACUUCUACCUUCACUUCUUGGGCCCACAUUUAUCCAUGUGGCCACAGCUGGGAAAAGCAGCCUCCUUUCUGGGUGGAAAUGUGCCAGCCAGAAAUCAGAACUCCAUUAGCAUGGAAAUGAGAUGUCGUGGAUGAAUUGUGUCCCCCAACAAGAUAUGUUGAAGUUCUAACCCCCAGUACCUCAGAAUGUGGCAUUAUUUGGAAACAGGGAUAUUGCAGAUAUAAUUAGUCAAGAUGACAUCAUACUGGAGUAAGGUGAGUCCCUUAUCUAAUAUGACUGGUGUCUUUAUAAAGAAACAGAAAAGGCCAGGUGCGAUAGUUCACACCUGUAAUCCCAGCACUUUGUGGGGCUGAGAUGGGUGGGGAUUGCCUGAUCUCAGGAGUUGGAGACCAGCCUGGGCAACGUGACAAAACCCCAUCUCUGCAAAAAAUACCAAAAUUAAGUGAGUGUGGUGGCACCUGCCUGCAGUCCCAGCUACUUGGGACUGAAGCGGGAGUCCUGAAGUCAGAGGAUUGCUUGAGCCCAGAAGGUGGAAGCUGCAGUGAAUUGGUUUUGUACCACUGCACUCUAGACUGGGUGACAAAAUGAGACUCUGUUGAAAGAAGAAGAAAGAGACAGACAGAGAGAGAGAGAGAAAAGGAAGAAGGAGAAGGAGAAGAGGAAGAGAAAGAGGAAGAAGAAGAAAAGAAGAAGAAGAAGAAGGAGGAGGAGGAGGAGGAGGAAGGAAAGAAAGAAAAGAAGGAAGGAAGGAAGGAAGGAAGGAAGGAAGGAAAGAAAAGAAAGAAAGAAAGAAAGAAAGAAAGAAAGAAAGAAAGAAAGAAAGAAAGAGAAAGAAAGAAGAAGAGGGGAGGAACAGAAAAGAAAGAAAAGAAAAAAGAAAAGAAAGAGAAAAAAGAAAAGAAGACAGAAACACACGGGAGAAACAUCAAGGACUGCCAGCUGUCAGUAGGAACAAGGAGAGAGGCAUGGAACAGAUUCUCCCGCACAGCCCCCACAAGUAACUAACCCCGCUGAAACUUUGAUUUCAGAGGUAUAUCCUCCAGAACUGAGAGACAAUAUGUUUCUGUCACUUCAGCCACCCAGUUUGUGGUACUUUGUUGUGGCAGCCCAAGCAGACUAAUGCAAGAGAGAAAGUAGAUAUUGGGAGACCACUAACAGUUGUUACCACAGUUUCCCAUCAAUAGUAUAAUUCCAGUAAUUUGUUCUCUGAAACGUUCCUCCAAUUUGAACCUUCAUGUCUAUUUUUCCUGCUGUUGCCCUAUUGAGUAAGCUCUACAUGGGAUUUGCCAUGAGAGAUGUCAGCACCAAGCUGCCCUGCCAAGUGCCAAAAGCCAGUUUAAAUUAUCUGUGACGCUAGCCAACUGAGAGCCCAGAGAACUCCAGCUUCCCUCGCCCGAGGUUUUUGUGUGAACAUAAACUUUCAAUUCAUUUGGAUAAACACCAGGGAACACAAUUGCCAGAUCAUAUGGUAAGAUUAUUUUCAGUGUUGUAAGAAACUGCCAAACUAUCUUCCAAAGUGGCUGUACUAUUUUGGAUUCCCAUGAGAAAAAAAUGAGAGUUCCUAUAUCUCCACAUCCUUAUCAGCAUUUGGUGUUGUCAAUGUUGCAUUUUAGCUGCUGUAAUUAGUAUAUAGUAGUAUCUCAUUGUUAUUUUAAUUUGAAAUUCCCUGCUGAGAUAUAAUGUAGAGUACCUUGUAUGCUUAUUUGCCAUCUGAAUGCCUUUUUUGGUGAGGUGUCUGUUCAGAUCUUUUGCCUAUUUUAAACUUGGGUUCGCUUUCUUACUGUUAUUUUAAGAGUUUGUUGUAUAUUUUCUAUAUGAAUUCUUCAACAGCUAUGUUUUGCAAAUAUUUUCUCCCAGUCUAUGGCUUGCUUAUAAUUUUCUUGACAGUGUCUUUUGCAGAGCAGAAGUGUUAAGUUUUAAGGAAGUCUCACUUAAAAUUUUUUUUCAUGGAUCAUGCAUUUGGUGUCUUAUCUAAAAACUCAUUUUCAAACCCAAGGUCACCUUGAUUUUCUCACUUUGACGUUGUUAUCUUCUAGAAGCUUUAUAGUUUUUCAUUUUAAAUUUAUGUCUAUGAUUCAUUUUGAGUUAAUUUUUGUGAAGGUGUAAGGUCUGUGUCCAGAUUAAUUUUUGUUACCACAUGGGUGUCCAGCUGUUCCAGCAUCAUUUGUUCAAAAGACUAUUUUUGCUCCAUUAUAUUGCCUCUGCUUCUUUGUCGAAGGUCAGUUGACUAUAUUUAUGUUGAUUUAUUGGCUCUCUGUUCUGUGAUAUUAAUGUAUUUAUUUUUUUCUCUAAUACUACAGCUGUUUUAAGGACUAUAUAGUACAUUUUGAAAUCAAGUAGUAUCGGUCCUCCAACUUUUGUUUGUGUUAGCUUUCUGGUUCUUUUGCCUUUUCAUAUCAACUUUUGAAAUAGCUUUCCAAAAUAACUUGCUGAUAUUUAACUGGGAUUGCAUUGAAUCUAUAUGCACAAUAGAAAGAACUGACAUUUUAACAAUACCGAGUCUUCUUACCCAUAAGCAUGAAUAUCUCACAAUUUAUUUAGAUCUCUGAUUUCUUUUAUCAGAAUUUUGUAGUUUUCCUCAUGUAGAUUUUAUGCAUAUUUUAUUAGACUUGUACCUAAAUAUCUCAUUUCUUUGGUGCUAAUGUAAAUGGUGUUUUGUUUUUCCUUUCCAAUUCCAAUUGUUUGUUGAUGUUUUAUAGAAAAAAUAGACUUUUGUCUAUUAAUCUUUUAUCCUGUAGUUUUUUUAAUCAUUCAUAAGUUCCAGAAGAUUUUUGGUUUGUUCUUUGGGAUUUUCUAUGUACACAAUCAUGAUACCUGUGAACAAAAACAGCUUUAUUUCUUCCUUCCUGAUCUGUAUACCUUUUAUUUCCUUUUUUACCUUAUUGAAUUAGCUAGGACUUCCAGUACAAUGUAGAAUAGGAGUGGUGGGAGGGGACAUUAUUGUCAUAUUCUUGAUCUUAGGGAGAGUAUUUAGUUACUCACCAUUAAGUAUGAUGUUUGCUGUAUGUUUUUUAAAGCUAUUCUUUGUCAAAUUGAAGACAUUCCCCUCUAUUCCCAGUUUGCUAAGUCUUUAUUAUGAAUGAGUGUUGGAUUUUGUGAAAUGCUUUUUUUGCAUCUAUUUAUAUAAUUAUAUGAUUUCUCUUCUUGUACCUAUUGAUGUGAUAGAUUACAUUAAUUGAUUUUUUAAUAUUGAAGAAGCAUGGCACACCUCAAAUAAAUCACACUUGAUCAUGUUGUAUAAUUCUUUUUCUACAUUGUUGGGUUCAAUUUGCUAAUAAUUUGUUGAGGAAUGUUGCUUGUAUUCAUGAGAGAUAUUGCUCUGUAGUUUUUUUUUUUUCCCCUUGUAAUGUCUUUUUCUGUUUUGGUAUCACAGUAAUAUUGCCCUGAUAGAAUGAGUUAAGAAGUAGUCUCUCUGCAUCUAUUUUAUGGAAGAGGUUGUAUAGAAUUUGUGUCAUUAAUUCCUUAAAUGUUUCAUAGGAUGUACUAGUGAUUCCUCCUGGCCUGGUUCCCCCUGUUUUAGAAGAUAUUAAUUAUUUAUUCAAUUUCUUUAAUAGAUAUAGGCCUCUUUAAAUUGUCUAUUCUGGUUGUGUGAAUUUUGAUACUGUGUCUUUCAAGGAGUUUGUUUAUUUCAUCUGGGUUAUCACAUUUGUGGGCAUAGAGUUGUUAAUAAUAUUCCUUUAUUAUUUUAAUGUCUAUGGGAUCAGUAGUGAUGACUUCUCUCUCAUUUGUGAUAUUAGUAACUUGUGUCUUCUCUCUUUUUUCUUGACUAGUGGGACUACAGACUUACCAAAUCUAUUGUCUUGUGAAAGAACUAGCUUUUGGUUUGCUGAUUUUCUUUAUUGUUUUCCAUUUCAUUGAUUUCUACUCUAAUUUUUAUUAUUUCUUCUGCUUACUUAGUAUUUAAUUUGGUCUUCUUUUUCUAAUUUUCUAAUUUGAGAGCUUAGAUUACUGACUGAUUUUAAGUGUCUCUUCUUCCCUAAAUAUGUAUUUAAUACCAUAAAUGUCCCCCUAAGCACUGCUUUCCCUACAUUCCAUAAAUUUGGAUAAGUUGUACUUUCAUUUUUUAUUUAGUUCAAAAUAUUUUUCAGUUUCUCUUGUGACUUCUUCUUUGACCCAUUUGUUGUUUAGAAUGUGUUGUUUACAAAAACUAUAAAAACUCUAGAAGAAAAUCUGCGCAAUACUAUUCAGGACAUAGGCACAGACAAAGAUUUCAUGACAAAAACACCAAAAGCCUUUGCAACGAAAGCAAAAAUUGUCAAAUGGGAUCUAAUUAAACUACAGAACUUCUGCACAGCAAAAGAAAUUAUCAUCAGAGAGAACAGACAACCUACAGCAUGGGAGAAAAAUUUUGCCAUCUAUCCAUCUGACAAAGGUCUAAUUUCCAGAGUCUACAAGGAACUUACACAAAUUUACAAAAAGAAAAAAACAUUAAAAAGUGGGCAAAGGACAUAAGCAGACACUUCUCAAAAGAAGACAUUCAUGCAGCCAGCAAACAUAUGAAGAAAAGCUCAACAUCACUGAUCAUUAGAGAAAUGCACACUGGGUGCAGUGUCUCUCACCUGUAAUCCCAGCACUUUGGAAGGCCAAGGCAGGCAGAUCACUUGAGAUCAGGAGUUUAAGACUAGCCUGGCAAACAUGGCAAAACCCUGUGUCUACUGAAAAUUACCUGGGCAUGGUGGUACAUGCUUAUAAUCCUAGCUACUUGGGAGGCGGAAGCAGGAGGAUCACUUGAACCCGGGAGGCAGAGGUUACAGUGAACUGAGAUCAUGCCAAUGCACUCCUGUCUCCAGUGACAGAAUGAGACUUGGUCUUAAAAAGAGAGAGAGAAAGAGAGAGAGAGAGAGAUGCAAAUCAAAACUACAAUGAGAUACCAUCUCAUGCCAGUCAGAAUGGCGAUUAUUAAAAAGUCGAGAAACAACAGAUGCUAGCAAGGUUGUGGAAGAAAAGGAAUGCUUUUACACUGUUGGUGGGAAUGUGAAUGUUCAAUCAUUGUGGAAGUGUGACAAUUCCUCAAAGAUCUAGAAGCAGAAAUAUCAUUUGACCCAGCAAUCCCAUUAUUGGGUAUAUACCCAAAGGAUUAUAAAUCAUUCUAUUAUAAAGAUACGUGCAUGCAUAUGUUCAUUGCAGCACUAUUCACAAUGGCAAAGACACAAAAUCAACCUAAAUGUCCAUCAAUGAUAGACUAGAUAAAGAAAAUGUGGUACAUAUACAUUAUGGAAUACUGUGCAGCCAUAAAAAGGAAUGAGAUCACAUCCUUUGCAGGGACACGGAUGAAGUUGGGAGCCGUUAUCCUCAACAAACUAACACAGGAACAGAAAACCAAACACCGUAUGUUCUCACUUAUAAGUGGGAGCGUAACGAUGAGAAUACGUGAACACAUGGGGAGAAACAACACACGUGGGAGCUUGUUGAGGGGGCAGGGAGAGGGAAAGUAUCAGGAAGACCAGCUAAUGGAUGCUGGGCUUAAUACCUAGGUGAGGGGUUGAUCUGCGCAGCAAAUCAUAAUGGCACAUGUUUACCUGUGUAACAAACCUGUACAUCCUGCACAUGUACCCUGGAACUUAAACAUUGAUGAAAAAAAUUACAAAAAUAAAAAGAAAGAAGUGUGUUGUUUAAUCUCCAAAUAUUUUGCGAUUUUCCUAGCUAUUUUUCUGUUAUCAAUUUCUAGUUUAAUUCCACUGUGGUCUCAGAACAUACUUCAUAUGAGUUCUAUUCUUUUAAAUUUGUUAAGGGGUGUUUUAUAAUCCAGAAUUUGUUCUAUCUUGGUGACUGUUCUGUAUAAGCUUAAGAAGAAUAUAUAUUCUGCUGUUGUUGGAAGAAGUAUUCUAUAAAUGUCAAUAAGAUCUAGGUGAUUGAUGGUGCUGUUUGGUUCAAUUAUGUCAUUACUUUUUUCCUGCCUACUGGAUCUGUCAAUUAGUGAUAGAAGGUUGUUGACUUCCCCAACUAAAAUAGUGGAUUUAUUUGUUACUCCUAGAAAUUCUGUAAAUUUUUACCUCAUGUAUUUUAAUGCUUUUUUGUUAGGUGCCUGUACAUUAAGGGCUGUUAUGUCUUCUUGGAGAAUUGACCCCUUUACCAUUAUGUAGUACACCUCCUUAUUCCUGAUCAUUUGUAUGGUUCUGAAGUCUGCUUUGUCAAGAUUAAUAUAGCUACUUCAGCUUCCUCUUGAUUAGUGUUAGCACGGUAUAUCUUUCUCUAUUCCUUCAUAUUAAUUUAUCUGUAUCAUUAUGUCUAAAGUGGGUUUCUCGUAUACAAUAUAUUGUUGGUUCUU
Long non-coding RNA from Symphalangus syndactylus (siamang), 9614 nucleotides. RefSeq lists it as uncharacterized. The record is from RefSeq and is a predicted model, not a curated record. NCBI's taxonomy places the organism in Eukaryota, Metazoa, Chordata, Mammalia, Primates, Hylobatidae.